UUGACACGGACUACCAGUGCUAUGUGAUGCGCUCUCGAUGAGUCGAGUUGUUUGGGAAUGCAGCUCAAAAUGGGUGGUAAAUUCCAUCUAAAGCUAAAUAUUGGCGAGAGACCGAUAGCGAACAAGUACCGUGAGGGAAAGAUGAAAAGCACUUUGGAAAGAGAGUUAAACAGUACGUGAAAUUGCUGAAAGGGAAACGAUUGAAGUCAGUCGCGUGUGCUAGAACUCAGCCUUGCUUUUGCUUGGUGCAUUUUCUAGUGUACGGGCCAGCAUCAGUUUUGGCCGCCGGAAAAAGGCCUUGGGAAUGUGGCACCUUCGGGUGUGUUAUAGCCCUUGGUUGUAUACGGUGGCUGGGACUGAGGAACAUAGCAUGCCUUUAUGGCGGGGCUUCGGCCACCUUCAUGCUUUGGAUGCUGGCGUAAUGGCUUUAAACGACCCGUCUUGAAACACGGACCAAGGAGUCUAACAUGCCUGCGAGUGUUUGGGUGGAAAACCCGAGCGCGUAAUGAAAGUGAAAGUUGGGACUUCUGUCGUGGAAGGCACCGACGCCCGGACCAGACCUUCUGUGACGGAUCCGCGGUAGAGCAUGUAUGUUGGGACCCGAAAGAUGGUGAACUAUGCCUGAAUAGGGUGAAGCCAGAGGAAACUCUGGUGGAGGCUCGU
This 663-nucleotide ribosomal RNA is filed under the name Bjerkandera sp. PAB-2014. RNAcentral describes it as "eukaryotic LSU rRNA". It matches the Rfam family "Eukaryotic large subunit ribosomal RNA", at positions 224 to 878 of the family's 3401-position model. Lineage: Eukaryota; Fungi; Basidiomycota; Agaricomycetes; Polyporales; Phanerochaetaceae. The record is from RNAcentral.